This 107-nucleotide small nuclear RNA is filed under the name Peromyscus maniculatus bairdii (prairie deer mouse). The record is from RNAcentral. Lineage: Eukaryota; Metazoa; Chordata; Mammalia; Rodentia; Cricetidae.
GUGCUCGCUUCCACAGCACAUAUACUAAAAUUGGAAUGAUACAGAGAAAAUUAGCAUGGCCCCUGCGCAAGGAUGACACGCAAAUUUGUGAAGUGUUCCAUGUUUUA